GGAGUUAGCCGGUGCUUCUUCUGUGAGUGAUGUCCUUCCUGCCGGCUAUUAACCCGCAGGCCUUCUUCCUCACUGAAAGUGCUUUACAACCCGAAGGCCUUCUUCACACACGCGGCAUGGCUGGAUCAGGGUUGCCCCCAUUGUCCAAUAUUCCCCACUGCUGCCUCCCGUAGGAGUCUGGGCCGUGUCUCAGUCCCAGUGUGGCUGAUCAUCCUCUCAGACCAGCUACGGAUCGUCGCCUUGGUGAGCCGUUACCUCACCAACCAGCUAAUCCGACAUAGGCUCAUCCGAUAGCGCGAGGCCCGAAGGUCCCCCGCUUUCCCCCGUAGGGCGUAUGCGGUAUUAGCCUGGGUUUCCCCAGGUUAUCCCCCACUACCGGGCAGAUUCCUAUGCAUUACUCACCCGUCCGCCGCUCGCCACCAGGGAGCAAGCUCCCCGUGCUGCCGCUCGACUUGCAUGUGUUAGGCCUGCCGCCAGCGUUCAAUCUGAGCCCAGAAAUCGAAAACCCUCGUACGUACGUAGACGGGCCGGUCGGUCGGAACGGAACGGGCCGACUAAGU
Molecule: ribosomal RNA, 560 nt
Filed under: uncultured bacterium
Lineage: Bacteria
Description: partial 16S ribosomal RNA
Source: RNAcentral